AACGAACGCUGGCGGCAGGCCUAACACAUGCAAGUCGAGCGCACCUUCGGGUGAGCGGCGGACGGGUUAGUAACGCGUGGGAAUAUGCCCUUCUCUAAGGAAUAGCCUCUGGAAACGGAGAGUAAUACCUUAUACGCCCUUCGGGGGAAAGAUUUAUCGGAGAAGGAUUAGCCCGCGUAAGAUUAGAUAGUUGGUGGGGUAAUGGCCUACCAAGUCUACGAUCUUUAGCUGGUUUGAGAGGAUGAUCAGCAACACUGGGACUGAGACACGGCCCAGACUCCUACGGGAGGCAGCAGUGGGGAAUCUUAGACAAUGGGCGCAAGCCUGAUCUAGCCAUGCCGCGUGAGUGACGAAGGCCUUAGGGUCGUAAAGCUCUUUCGCCAGAGAUGAUAAUGACAGUAUCUGGUAAAGAAACCCCGGCUAACUCCG
Molecule: ribosomal RNA, 429 nt
Filed under: uncultured Paracoccaceae bacterium
Lineage: Bacteria; Pseudomonadati; Pseudomonadota; Alphaproteobacteria; Rhodobacterales; Paracoccaceae
Description: bacterial SSU rRNA
Rfam family: Bacterial small subunit ribosomal RNA
Source: RNAcentral